RNAcentral lists this long non-coding RNA (380 nucleotides) under Stegodyphus dumicola. RNAcentral describes it as "uncharacterized LOC118190236, transcript variant X1". Lineage: Eukaryota; Metazoa; Arthropoda; Arachnida; Araneae; Eresidae. The record is from RNAcentral.
UUUCAAGCGAGGACAGUCGUAACAAUGGAUACAGCUCCUUUGCCAAAAUUUGCUCUUUUUUUUUAGGUGUCUGUAAAUUUGCUUUAAGAGUGUAAUGCUGUAACGUAGUUUUAUUUAUUACGUACUGCUAACACAAUGAAAGCUGAGGCGUUACAUAAUAGUUCAAAAUUAUCAGAUUUUUAUAACUGCAAGAAGUUCCCGAAGAUGCUGUUAAUGUCCUAAAAGGGUAAAGGCAAAGCAAGUAUUUUAGCAUCAGGUUGUUAUUUGAAAAAAAAAAAAAAAAAAAUCCAAAUUCUGCACUUCUAAUAUUUGCUAAAUGGAAUAGAAGACAUGGAAUCUCUUGGACCAGCUCAGAAUAAACAGCCCAUUAUAGUGUGUUU